This 221-nucleotide long non-coding RNA is filed under the name Vigna radiata. RNAcentral's name for it is "long non-coding RNA (VRAD_LNC015981)". Lineage: Eukaryota; Viridiplantae; Streptophyta; Magnoliopsida; Fabales; Fabaceae. The record is from RNAcentral.
GAGAUGAAUGAGAAGAAAAAGAGAAGAAGAAGUGAAGAAGAAGGAUGAGGGAGGAGGAGGAUGAAGAGGAGGAUAAGGAACGGAGGUGGCAAUGAUUGAUGUGGAUGUGUCUGUUGAGAUUGUAGAGCACACAAUAUCUAUAUCACUCUGGUUUUUGAUGAUGACAACACAUUGUUUAAUAACACACAUAUGUUGUUGUGUUACAUGUUCUUAUGCUGAUU